AUUGAACGCUGGCGGCAUGCCUUACACAUGCAAGUCGAACGGCAGCACGGGUGCUUGCACCUGGUGGCGAGUGGCGAACGGGUGAGUAAUAUAUCGGAACGUACCUUAUCGUGGGGGAUAACGCAGCGAAAGCUGCGCUAAUACCGCAUACGCCCUGAGGGGGAAAGCGGGGGACCGUAAGGCCUCGCGCGAUUAGAGCGGCCGAUAUCUGAUUAGCUUGUUGGUGGGUAAAAGCCCACCAAGGCGACGAUCAGUAGCUGGUCUGAGAGGACGAUCAGCCACACUGGGACUGAGACACGGCCCAGACUCCUACGGGAGGCAGCAGUGGGGAAUUUUGGACAAUGGGGGCAACCCUGAUCCAGCAAUGCCGCGUGAGUGAAGAAGGCCUUCGGGUUGUUAAAGG
RNAcentral lists this ribosomal RNA (403 nucleotides) under uncultured bacterium. RNAcentral describes it as "bacterial SSU rRNA". It matches the Rfam family "Bacterial small subunit ribosomal RNA", at positions 30 to 432 of the family's 1533-position model. The record is from RNAcentral.